Molecule: long non-coding RNA, 974 nt
Filed under: Helianthus annuus (common sunflower)
Lineage: Eukaryota; Viridiplantae; Streptophyta; Magnoliopsida; Asterales; Asteraceae
Description: hypothetical non coding rna
Source: RNAcentral
UUCUCAUCCAAAACCCUAGACAACUUUUCCUCUCCCAUUCAUCCGUCUGCCACCUCCUAACUUCUCCUCUCAAAUCUCUAAUGUUGUCAAUGGAUUCAGCACCAUAUCCGCCGCUGCGCAUCCUCCAAACCCACCAUGGCCACCACUGCGCAUCCUCCAAACCCACCAUGGCCGCCGCUGCACAUCCUCCAAACCCUAGAUCUGAUACCAGAGUACUCUAGAUAGUUGCUUUGGACCUGGGCUUAUGGUUCAAAGAAUGUUAUUUUUGUUUCAGUUGCUCCGGACCUGGUAUUAUGGUUCAAAGAAUAAUUGAGAUGACUUUUGUAGGUCAUAUUGGUUAUAACACAGGCAAGACCAAGAAAAACGCUUGGAGUAAUAAACAAUAAAUAAAAGCCAAAUUGAAGAAACUCAAGUUUUGCUAUGCGAUUAAAGACAACAUGAUUUCAAACUCAAGUUUAGCAGUUUUUGACAGUUUUUUCUGUGCGUUACGCAAUUUUUGUGUUGGGUUCAGGUUUCCAGCAACAAAUCUUCAUUCAUUUAUACUUUGUAUGUAGACUAACAUGUGUUGCUUUAUAUGUGUAGUUAAUGUUUCAGAUCUAGAAUGUCACCUGCCUAUGAUUUGUUAAUCUAGCCGAACAAGAGAGCCAGGGUUGACUCGAGGUGCAUCCUAAUACAACGAGGUUAACUUUACAAGUUGUAAGUGUUGAAGUUGACAAUAUACGCGCACUGAAGGUGAGAUUGUAUACUUUCAUAUGGGAAGGGGAUGCAGCAACAACUGAGCGACAAACGAGCUGAGAUAAGACUCUCAAAUCAUAGACCCGUUAUAUGUUAGAAGUUGAAGCGUUUUCAUUAAAAAAGUUACAACGGGCCAUUUCCUGAUGCGGAAAUGGAAAACUAUUGCUCGACGUGUUUAAGAUAAAACAAGUCGGCGUUUUUUAUUUGCAUCCGUAUUAGGAUUGUAGUUUCACUUUGUC